Molecule: ribosomal RNA, 239 nt
Filed under: uncultured bacterium
Lineage: Bacteria
Description: partial 16S ribosomal RNA
Rfam family: Bacterial small subunit ribosomal RNA
Source: RNAcentral
UACAGAGGGUGCGAGCGUUGUCCGGAAUCACUGGGCGUAAAGGGCGCGUAGGUGGUGGCUUAAGCGUGCGGUGAAAGCUCGGGGCUCAACCCCGAGUCGGCCGUGCGAACUGGGCUCACUGGAGCAUAGUAGAGGCAGGUGGAAUUCCGGGUGUAGCGGUGGAAUGCGUAGAGAUCCGGAAGAACACCGGUGGCGAAGGCGGCCUGCUGGGCUAUGGCUGACACUGAGGCGCGACAGCG